UACAUGGGGUGCAAACGUUGCUCGGAAUUAUUGGGCGUAAAGCGCGCGUAGGCGGUUACUUAAGUCGGAUGUGAAAGCCCUCGGCUUAACUGAGGAAGUGCACCCGAAACUGAGUAGCUAGAGUACGAAAGAGGGUCGCGGAAUUCCCGGUGUAGAGGUGAAAUUCGUAGAUAUCGGGAGGAACACCGGUGGCGAAGGCGGCGACCUGGGUCGAGACUGACGCUGAGGAGCGAAAGCGUGGGUAGCAAACAGG
RNAcentral lists this ribosomal RNA (253 nucleotides) under uncultured bacterium. RNAcentral describes it as "partial 16S ribosomal RNA". It matches the Rfam family "Bacterial small subunit ribosomal RNA", at positions 524 to 776 of the family's 1533-position model. The record is from RNAcentral.